Molecule: transfer RNA, 73 nt
Filed under: Actinomycetota bacterium
Lineage: Bacteria; Bacillati; Actinomycetota
Description: tRNA-OTHER
Source: RNAcentral
GGCGGUAGACAACGGUGAACAUCCUGCUGCCUUCACACGGCAGAGGUCGCUGGUUCGAGCCCAGCAUCGCCCA